Molecule: long non-coding RNA, 766 nt
Organism: Oncorhynchus keta (chum salmon)
Lineage: Eukaryota; Metazoa; Chordata; Actinopteri; Salmoniformes; Salmonidae
Exons: 3
Source: RefSeq, a predicted model, not a curated record
CAUAUAAAGUUUAACUAGUCAGUGGCCAUACCCCCGUGAGCCAGACAUUACAUCAGGCAUCAUGGAACCGCCCUUUUCUACUCCAGAAUAAAAGGACUCGUCACAACAUAUACAUUUAGUCAAGAUAGGGAGUUCCCAUGUUGAAAUGGCUGGAACUCUGAAACUUUCAACAGAAAACAAGUACUACUCGAUGCCAAAGAGACCCAUAGUAAACCGGGCGUCUCGAAUGGUUAAGAAGACCAAAAAAUAUGGAGCUGACGCUACAUGUUGAAAUGGUUAAGAACUACAACUCUACCAAAGGAGAAGACCAGAGAACGUGGAGAUCAUUCCCACGUUGAAAUGGCGAAGAUAUCUACAAAGAAUAAUUAUUCAGACUGCAGCCGUUUAAAUACUUUAGUCUGGUAAAUGCAUCCGAUUCUAAGAACAAUUCAGAAUGGUACUUUGAAGUAUCAAUUCUAACUACGGCAGACUGUGACUUCUGGGGAACGCAACCAGAGACUUUUCUGUCAACUCUCUCCAGCAGAUGGACCGGCGACCACAGCGAGAGACAAGACAUACGCUCCUCAAUAUCAAACAUUCCAGCGCUGUCAUCAUCAAGGUGCAUCCCAUGGAAUGUCCUGAUCAGAUCAGUUCCCUGGGUAUCACAGACACUUCUGACACUCAAGAGUGCCCCAAGGUAAUCUGCUGUGGCUGAACCAAGACACUCCAUUGGGAUCAGUUAGAGCAUGGGUGACAGAGCAUGGGUCGUCCAUCUCCCAUCAACACU